Molecule: ribosomal RNA, 22 nt
Filed under: Lophophytum leandri
Lineage: Eukaryota; Viridiplantae; Streptophyta; Magnoliopsida; Santalales; Balanophoraceae
Also listed under: 2 other names
Description: Lophophytum leandrii partial 18S ribosomal RNA
Source: RNAcentral
GAACCUGCGGAAGGAUCAUUGA